Patella vulgata (common limpet) is the source of this 447-nucleotide long non-coding RNA. RefSeq lists it as uncharacterized. The record is from RefSeq and is a predicted model, not a curated record. The transcript is spliced from 4 exons. NCBI's taxonomy places the organism in Eukaryota, Metazoa, Mollusca, Gastropoda, Patellidae.
GUCGACGUAUAUGUCUGGCAUGUAUCCGUAUAAGACGGGUAUGCAGCAUAUUGUUCUAGGAGGUCGACAGAGCUUUUGUCUACCACUAGAACUACGAACGCUACCCCAACAGUUGAAAGAAGUAGGGUAUGCAACCCAUGCAGUUGGAAAGUGGAAUUUAGGAUUUUGUAACUUGAAGUGUAUUCCGACUUAUCGAGGCUUUGAUUCAUUCUUAGGAUAUUACAACACCCAAGAAGAUUAUUACAAUCACACGUUUGGUGGUUAUUUGGAUUUACACGAUGGAGAGCGAGUUGCUAGAGAAUAUGAUGGACAAUACUCCACAGUAAGAAAACAUGACGCUGGCUUAUAUUUUAUUUCUGUUAUUAAAAUGUAUGUUAUUGAAAGAGAACUCUCGUGGCAACUUACAAACGAAUUCGCUGAAAUGAAAACGCAAAUUCAUUACAAAUG